Molecule: ribosomal RNA, 401 nt
Filed under: uncultured prokaryote
Description: bacterial SSU rRNA
Rfam family: Bacterial small subunit ribosomal RNA
Source: RNAcentral
UGGGGAAUAUUGCACAAUGGGCGAAAGCCUGAUGCAGCAACGCCGCGUGAGCGAUGAAGGCCUUCGGGUCGUAAAGCUCUGUCCUCAAGGAAGAUAAUGACGGUACUUGAGGAGGAAGCCCCGGCUAACUACGUGCCAGCAGCCGCGGUAAUACGUAGGGGGCUAGCGUUAUCCGGAAUUACUGGGCGUAAAGGGUGCGUAGGUGGUUUCUUAAGCCAGAGGUGAAAGGCUACGGCUUAACCGUAGUAAGCCUUUGAAACUGGGAAACUUGAGUGCAGGAGAGGAGAGUGGAAUUCCUAGUGUAUCGGUGAAAUGCGUAGAUAUUAGGAGGAACACCAUUUGCGAAGGCGGCUCUCUGGACUGUAACUGACACUGAGGCACGAAAGCGUGGGGCGCAAACA